Molecule: ribosomal RNA, 528 nt
Filed under: Triticum aestivum (bread wheat)
Lineage: Eukaryota; Viridiplantae; Streptophyta; Magnoliopsida; Poales; Poaceae
Description: partial small subunit ribosomal RNA
Source: RNAcentral
AUGGGAGGUAAUGACUCGUCGAUUGCAUGCCUUGUUAUUUUUUCCUUUCCACCGUUUGAACCUAGUGAUUCCACUCGAACAAAUGUGCGUAAUGAAAAUCGUCAACUCCAAGCUCGUCCGAGGAAUGUUAUUUCUUUAGACAAAAUGAAGGAGGAUCUGGAGCAGAAGGACCUUGAUCUUGCUGUGGCGCACAAGACAGCGCGUGAGAAGACUGAACUUGCCAACCAGAAGCUGCCUUCGGUCGGAAAGUUGGAAGAUGAGAAUGCCAAGAUGAAAACCGUUGUCGACGAGGCGAAGAAAGAGGCCAUGCAACUGAAGGAGGAGAAGGUGGCUUUGUCUGACAAAGUGGAUGUUCUCACUCAGAAGAGGGACGAGCUGGAAACUUAUGUGGGUAGUCUCGCCAAGAAGAUGUUCCUCAUUCUUGAAGAGUUUUGUCAGAAUUUUGAGGAGGAAACCGGGCGGAUCGAGACAGGACUGGACCCCAUCAAUUCUCGCAUCAAGGAUGAAGCUGCCAUGAACGUGCUGUGA